GAUGAAGAACGUAGCGAAAUGCGAUAAGUAAUGUGAAUUGCAGAAUUCAGUGAAUCAUCGAAUCUUUGAACGCACAUUGCGCCCGCCAGUACUCUGGCGGGCAUGCCUGUUCGAGCGUCAUUUCAACCCUCGGGCCCCGCAUUCGUGCGGGCCCCGGCGUUGGGGACCGGCCUCCGCAUCGGACGGCCGCCCCCGAAACCCAGUGGCGGUCCCGCCGCGGCCUUCUCUGCGUAGUAGCAUACACCUCGCACUGGAGAGCGGCGCGUCCACGCCGUAAAAGAAACGAACUUUCUGAAGGUUGACCUCGGAUCAGGUAGGAAUACCCGCUGAACUUAAGCAUAUCAAUAAGCGGAGGA
Molecule: unclassified non-coding RNA, 356 nt
Filed under: soil metagenome
Description: partial contains 5.8S ribosomal RNA, internal transcribed spacer 2, and large subunit ribosomal RNA
Rfam family: 5.8S ribosomal RNA (bases 1-120)
Source: RNAcentral